GACGAACGCUGGCGGCGUGCCUAAUACAUGCAAGUCGAACGCUGAAGAGAGGAGCUUGCUCUUCUUGGAUGAGUUGCGAACGGGUGAGUAACGCGUAGGUAACCUGCCUUGUAGCGGGGGAUAACUAUUGGAAACGAUAGCUAAUACCGCAUAACAAUGGAUGACACAUGUCAUUUAUUUGAAAGGGGCAAUUGCUCCACUACAAGAUGGACCUGCGUUGUAUUAGCUAGUAGGUGAGGUAAUGGCUCACCUAGGCGACGAUACAUAGCCGACCUGAGAGGGUGAUCGGCCACACUGAGACUGAGACACGGCCCAGACUCCUACGGGAGGCAGCAGUAGGGAAUCUUCGGCAAUGGGGGCAACCCUGACCGAGCAACGCCGCGUGAGUGAAGAAGGUUUUCGGAUCGUAAAGCUCUGUUGUAAGUCAAGAACGGGUGUGAGAGUGGAAAGUUCACACUGUGACGGUAGCUUACCAGAAAGGGACGGCUAACUACGUG
This 497-nucleotide ribosomal RNA is filed under the name uncultured bacterium. Its description in RNAcentral is "partial 16S ribosomal RNA". It matches the Rfam family "Bacterial small subunit ribosomal RNA", at positions 28 to 507 of the family's 1533-position model. The record is from RNAcentral.